RNAcentral lists this ribosomal RNA (252 nucleotides) under uncultured bacterium. Its description in RNAcentral is "partial 16S ribosomal RNA". It matches the Rfam family "Bacterial small subunit ribosomal RNA", at positions 524 to 776 of the family's 1533-position model. The record is from RNAcentral.
UACGUAGGCAGCGAGCGUUGUUCGGAAUUACUGGGCGUAAAGAGUGUGUAGGCGGUGCUCUAAGUUCGGUGUGAAAUCUCCCGCUUAACUGGGAGGGUGCGCCGGAAACUGGAGUGCUCGAGCGUGGGAGAGGGAAGCGGAAUUCCUGGUGUAGCGGUGAAAUGCGUAGAUAUCAGGAGGAACACCUGCGGUGUAGACGGCUUUCUGGACCAUUGCUGACGCUGAGACACGAAAGCGUGGGUAGCAAACAGG